GGCUGCGAUCAUACUAGUACUAAGGCAUCGGAUCCCAUCAGAAUUCCACAAUUAAGCAUGUUGAGGAGAGAGUACUACAAGGAUGGAUGACCUCUUUGGAAGUUCUCGUGUUACAUCCC
RNAcentral lists this ribosomal RNA (119 nucleotides) under Beta vulgaris subsp. vulgaris (sugar beet). The record is from RNAcentral. Lineage: Eukaryota; Viridiplantae; Streptophyta; Magnoliopsida; Caryophyllales; Amaranthaceae.